Non-coding RNA from Dissoconium aciculare CBS 342.82, 78 nucleotides. The record is from the annotation of a RefSeq genome assembly. Lineage: Eukaryota; Fungi; Ascomycota; Dothideomycetes; Mycosphaerellales; Dissoconiaceae.
ACUCACGUGGCUCAGUGGCUACAGUCCUCCACUCAACAGAUUAUGGAGAGUUCCCUUGUUCGAAUCAAGGCGUGAGUA